UCCGGUUUGUCACCGGCAGUCACCUUAGAGUGCCCAACCUAAUGCUGGCAACUAAGAUCAAGGGUUGCGCUCGUUGCGGGACUUAACCCAACAUCUCACGACACGAGCUGACGACAACCAUGCACCACCUGUCACUCUGUCCCCCGAAGGGGAACGUCCUAUCUCUAGGAUUGUCAGAGGAUGUCAAGACCUGGUAAGGUUCUUCGCGUUGCUUCGAAUUAAACCACAUGCUCCACCGCUUGUGCGGGCCCCCGUCAAUUCCUUUGAGUUUCAGCCUUGCGGCCGUACUCCCCAGGCGGGGUGCUUAUCGCGUUAGCUUCGACACUGAGCUCCGAGUUGAGCCCAACAUCCAGUUCGCAUCGUUUAGGGCGUGGACUAC
RNAcentral lists this unclassified non-coding RNA (379 nucleotides) under uncultured Caryophanales bacterium. RNAcentral's name for it is "uncultured Bacillales bacterium contains 16S-23S intergenic spacer region". Lineage: Bacteria; Bacillati; Bacillota; Bacilli; Caryophanales. The record is from RNAcentral.